This 443-nucleotide ribosomal RNA is filed under the name uncultured bacterium. RNAcentral describes it as "partial 16S ribosomal RNA". It matches the Rfam family "Bacterial small subunit ribosomal RNA", at positions 338 to 795 of the family's 1533-position model. The record is from RNAcentral.
CCUACGGGAGGCAGCAGUGGGGAAUAUUGGGCAAUGGGCGCAAGCCUGACCCAGCAACGCCGCGUGAAGGAAGAAGGCUUUCGGGUUGUAAACUUCUUUUCUGAGGGACGAAGAAAGUGAAGGUACCACAGGAAUAAGCCACGGCUAACUACGUGCCAGCAGCCGCGGUAAUACGAAGGUGGCAAGCGUUAUCCGGAUUGAUUGGGUGUAAAGGGCGUGUAGGCGGGAAAGCAAGUCAGAUGUGAAAACUCAGGGCUCAACCCUGAGCCUGCAUUUUAAACUGGUUUUCUUGAGUGCUGGAGAGGCAAUCGGAAUUCCGUGUGUAGCUGUGAAAUGCGUAGAUAUACGGAGGAACACCAGUGGCGAAGGCGGAUUGCUGGACAGUAACUGACGCUGAGGCGCGAAAGCGUGGGGAGCAAACAGGAUUAGAUACCCCAGUAGUC